Molecule: long non-coding RNA, 264 nt
Filed under: Theobroma cacao (cacao)
Lineage: Eukaryota; Viridiplantae; Streptophyta; Magnoliopsida; Malvales; Malvaceae
Description: long non-coding RNA (TCAC_LNC000785)
Source: RNAcentral
ACGUGUAAGGGAUAGAAGAUUUUUGUUCUAACCCCGUGUCCACAAUGCCAAUGAGAAAGUAGAUCACGUGCACCAAUUUUUCAAGAUUUUGAAAUAAAUAACUGGGACCUUCAGAGGUAGCAUUGAGGACAUAUCAGUUAAUUCGGGGGCCCACUUUAUUCAUUUUAUGUGGACAACGUUAAUUUUAUGUGAAGGAGUACAUUUGAUUGAUUCAAACUAUUGUAAACUUUAAUGUUAAUUUGGUGGCCACAAAUUUCUUCCUCA